RNAcentral lists this ribosomal RNA (405 nucleotides) under uncultured bacterium. RNAcentral's name for it is "bacterial SSU rRNA". It matches the Rfam family "Bacterial small subunit ribosomal RNA", at positions 355 to 776 of the family's 1533-position model. The record is from RNAcentral.
UAGGGAAUUUUCCACAAUGGGGGCAACCCUGAUGGAGCAACGCCGCGUGCAGGAUGAAGGCCUUCGGGUUGUAAACUGCUUUUAUCUGUGACGAUUAUGACGGUAGCAGAUGAAUAAGGACCUGCUAACUACGUGCCAGCAGCCGCGGUCAUACGUAGGGUCCAAGCGUUAUCCGGAAUUACUGGGCGUAAAGAGUUGCGUAGGUGGCAUAGAAAGCGGACAGUGAAAGCGUGUGGCUCAACCAUACAUCCAUUGUCUGAACUCCUAAGCUAGAGAACGAGAGAGGUAGAUGGAAUUCCUGAUGUAGGGGUAAUAUCCGUAGAUAUCAGGAGGAACACCGAUGGCGUAGGCAGUCUACUGGCUCGUUUCUGACACUAAGGCACGAAAGCGUGGGGAGCAAACAGG